UUUCAUCAAUAGAGAAAAGCACUAGCGGAAACAUACACAAACGGCUUACACGAGGGUAAGCAAUAGCCAUUAGUGAAAGAAAGAAAAACUAAACAUUUAUAAGUACUAUGAUUCGUUUUUGAUCAUAUACAUUGCAUUCAUCUUGUUCAUUUUCGAAUUCCUUACAUGUCAUUUCAUCAUUUCUUUCUUACAUCACAUUUACCUCAAAAUACACAUUACAUUCUUUUCUUUACAUUACUAGUCAUCAAAUACAAGAGAUGAACAUAGGGUAGCCACUAUCAAAAUGUAAACCCAACUCAACCCUGGUGGCCUCUGUCUAAGGCGCGAUACCUUUACCUCGGUCACUCGUCGGCUCGCUCGGUCCCGGCUCUGUGAAAAUAGUGGGGUGAGAACUACAACAAAGUUCCCAGUGGGUUCGGUCUCAACAUCACCGACUUUCCCACUAGGACUAACUCAGGCAUAAUAGAAAGAAUAAGCUGCAUAUAGUAACCAAUCUAUGCAUAAUGCUAAU
RNAcentral lists this long non-coding RNA (511 nucleotides) under Ananas comosus (pineapple). Its description in RNAcentral is "long non-coding RNA (ACOM_LNC036755)". The record is from RNAcentral. Lineage: Eukaryota; Viridiplantae; Streptophyta; Magnoliopsida; Poales; Bromeliaceae.